This 273-nucleotide unclassified non-coding RNA is filed under the name Hevea brasiliensis (rubber tree). The record is from RNAcentral. Lineage: Eukaryota; Viridiplantae; Streptophyta; Magnoliopsida; Malpighiales; Euphorbiaceae.
GCUUUCUGCCAUUUUAUUGCCUCUCUUUUCAAUGUUUCAUUGCAUUCUUUUAUGAUAUAUAACAUGUGGGAACAGCUAAAGCUUACAUUUAACUUUAUUUUCCUCAUUACUUGAUAAUAUAUCAAACAAAAGACAAAACCUACUAACUGAUCAGAUCCUUCAAUUUCUCUAUAAUUACCAAAACAACCCCCUUAAGAGAGAGGAAGCUUAGGCACAAUGACCUUUAUAACCCCAUUCUCCAAGUGGGCCCUAAUCCUUUCCACGUCAGCAUUG